GUAAAGUCAGCUAACUAAGCUCUC
RNAcentral lists this transfer RNA (24 nucleotides) under Plestiodon indubitus. RNAcentral describes it as "partial tRNA-Met". Lineage: Eukaryota; Metazoa; Chordata; Lepidosauria; Squamata; Scincidae. The record is from RNAcentral.